Molecule: long non-coding RNA, 279 nt
Organism: Frieseomelitta varia
Lineage: Eukaryota; Metazoa; Arthropoda; Insecta; Hymenoptera; Apidae
Exons: 3
Source: RefSeq, a predicted model, not a curated record
UCCUUUACCGAAGCUAUGACGUUGCCUGCGUUCGCAAUGGCCGCAAUUUCAUCUUUCCUGUUAAAAGUAUUAAAUAUGAAAAAUUGGAUUUAUUAAUUAUACGUUGAAAAUGUUUCUGUUGCAUGCAAAUAGUGCGCUGCGCGCUUGUUUAGCGCGAAACCGCGAAAAAUUCAAUUGACCGAAUCAGGACUUCAAAAAAUUACUUACUUGGAACAUCUUGGAUAACUUAACUAUGGACUCGGAUAUCUUGAAUAAAUUAAAAAUAAAUGAAUUAUAGGU